GUAGCGCGGUGGUCCCACCUGACCCCAUGCCGAACUCAGAAGUGAAACGCCGUAGCGCCGAUGGUAGUGUGGGGUCUCCCCAUGCGAGAGUAGGGAACUACCAGGC
RNAcentral lists this ribosomal RNA (106 nucleotides) under Escherichia coli. Lineage: Bacteria; Pseudomonadati; Pseudomonadota; Gammaproteobacteria; Enterobacterales; Enterobacteriaceae. RNAcentral also lists the same sequence under 1 other name. The record is from RNAcentral.